UUAUGAUUAUGUAAUGGCUUAUGAGCCUGAGAUGGAAUCCAGACAUGUCUGUGGAAGAGGGAAGGGUUGGACUCUGGCGGGUGUAUUUCCACAAGAGGCUGAGGGCAUCGUGGGAGGUGCCCACCCUAAGCUGCGAAGAGCCAGGGAGUACAACAAUGUCCUCUCAGUAGGAGGACCUGUGAGAGAAGACUGUGAAGAGACUGGUCUAACUGAAGCAUGGGUCUGGCUCAGGUUUUCAAGCCAGCUAUGGCCUUCUCUGGUAUUCAAAGAGUGCUGGCCACCAUGUGCCAGGCCAUCUGCCAGUAAAGAAGUGAAGAGCCAGUCCUCCUGCUUCCCAGGCAGAGGAUGAUGGCGUGCUUUCUCUUGCCACACCCGAUGUCAUGCCUGAUGGAUCUCACCAAGACUUAAGAGCCAAGCAUCCCCAGACAGCUAACACUAAGUAAAAACCAGGUUUCUUAUGAAGAAGCAAACUGGUAAGACAAAAAUGAAGAUGUGUGUUGGAACUUCACUCAACAGCAUGAAUGACUUCCAAAAUGAUUCUUGUGACUAAGGUUGGAGACACAUUAUUUCUGUCCUCAUAGGACUCAUAGUCUCAUGGGAGAGAAGAUAUAUAAAGACCUAUGACAAUGGGAUAAUGACUCUGAUGGAAACAGAAGGAAAGGGAGUCCCAUGGGAGCCUAUCGCUUCCCACUUGAUCAGGAGGGCACAGCGAAAAUGUAAUGCUGGGCAUGUCAUUUAACCUCUAGGAUCACAGUUCUUCACCUGCUAAACAAGGGAGCUAGAAGAUGGUAUUUAAACUUGGCUGAGUCUAUGUACCUUUGGAUCUCUGGAUGUACUCCCAACAAGACGUGCCCUGCAAUAUUAUGCUAUGAGAAAGUCUAUUCAGUUAAAAAAGCUGAUGGUGAUACACACCCUACAAAUAGCUUAGUAACAAAAGCAAAACAUAACAGUGACAGCUGAUAUCACCUUACUAGGAUUGUAAACGAUAAAAUUCUCAACGGAUGCAUCAUACGCUCAAUCAAGUUUCCCAAUCAGUCCUCUGUGAAGCACUCUUCUGUAAAUAUGAGUGUUGUAUUCUGUACAUUAAGUCAACAUGGAUCCUAUUUCCAGUUAUAGGUUAACAUUGCUGUUUCCAAAAGUACUGAUAAUCAGCACGGCACUCAAGGAAAAUACAGCCAUUGACAUGGAUGUCACGAAUUUGAAUGAAACGAUGCGCAUCUGUUUCUGAGUAAUUUCUGAGAACCAAUGAUAAAGAAUACAUUUUAAGGGGCGCCUGGGUGGCUCAGUGGGUUAAAGCCUCUGCCUUCGGCUCAGGUCAUGAUCUCAGGGUCCUGGGAUCGAGUCCCACAUCGGGCUCUCUGCUCAGCAGGGAGCCUGCUUCCUCCUCUCUCUCUCUGCUUGCCUCUCUGCCUACUUGUGAUC
Mustela lutreola (European mink) is the source of this 1422-nucleotide long non-coding RNA. RefSeq lists it as uncharacterized. Lineage: Eukaryota; Metazoa; Chordata; Mammalia; Carnivora; Mustelidae. The transcript is spliced from 5 exons. The record is from RefSeq and is a predicted model, not a curated record.